CUUGAUCGACCCGAGCCACAGCGGCCGGUCCGCCGGGUGCCCCUGGCCGUAGGUUUCCAGCAGGGCCUGCGCCUC
This 75-nucleotide antisense RNA is filed under the name Streptomyces sp. MP131-18. Its description in RNAcentral is "ASpks TB sRNA". It matches the Rfam family "ASpks TB sRNA". Lineage: Bacteria; Bacillati; Actinomycetota; Actinomycetes; Kitasatosporales; Streptomycetaceae. The record is from Rfam by way of RNAcentral.